Long non-coding RNA from Gossypium arboreum, 4299 nucleotides. RefSeq lists it as uncharacterized. The record is from RefSeq and is a predicted model, not a curated record. The transcript has 2 exons. Lineage: Eukaryota; Viridiplantae; Streptophyta; Magnoliopsida; Malvales; Malvaceae.
UACAACUUUUUCAGUUAAUUAUCAGCGUUUAGUCACUAAUUCCACAACCCUAGUUGUUCCCCUCCUUUUCAUCACUCAUUUUUUUUUUGUUUCUUCUUUUUUGUGCUGUCCAGAGAAUUGUGAUUUUCACCAUACUUGUGUCACCCUUUGUUCUUGAUAUUUGAUAUUAUUUCCUAGCCACUUUGCUAGUAAUUUUAACCUUCAAAUAAUCCCUUAUUGCUACCCUAAAACCUUCCCUAUUUCUACCUAUAUCAACCUCUUUUCUGCCCAUUGCCACCCCUUUUCCUCCAUUCGUGGUGGUGCCGAUAAGUCUCCCUUUUCUCCCUUUCCCCUUCUCUUUUUGUGCCAAUUUUGGCUGCUGUAUUUUUAGCCAAGAAAACACAUUUUUCCAGCUUAAAAAUCAUGUUUUUGGAUGUCCCUAACUAGCCUUUAAAAACCUCUUUUUGUGCCUUGCGAAAUCAUCCCUUUCAUGGCCAAUAAUGGUGGUGUGCCACUCUAAACCACCAUUAGAGGCUACUGAAUUUUAUUAUUUUACCACAUUUUUCCAGCAAGUUUUUAAUUUGUAUUACCUUACUCUAAUCAGCCUUUAAUCAUGUGUGAUUUAGGAAUAAUUAAUCCCUAUCAUUCGACAACUUAGAUAUGGGUAACGGGUGAUGGUUUGAACACCUCGGAUCAGCAAUGAAGUUGGGUUUCGUUCGUAUUCUCGUUUCACAUCAAACAGUGUAAGUUGCUUAACCAAAUUAGAUCUGAAAAUUUAUGGAUGUAACACUAAUUUGGACAAACCCUUAUAGGGAUUUUCAAGGCUAUUUUUAACGGUAGUUAAUGUGUUAGAUGUUGUUAUUUGGUGUUAAGUACGUUUAAGGUGUUAUAUUGGAAACAUAAACUCUUACAGUUUAGUGCUACGAAGGCGAACUAAGGUGUGGGUUCUAACUUAUUAAAAUAAGUGUUAAAUUUAUGUUUUUUAAUGAUUAAAUUGAUAUUUAAGUUUGUUGGUCAGCUUAUUUAAAAUUUUAAAUAAGCGAUUUAAAUGUGGCCGAAUUAGGUACAUUUCGAGCCUAAUUAAAUAGCAUGAAUACAAAGCUACUAUGGUUGAUAUUUGUAUGCUAAUAUUUGUGUGAUUCAAAAUGGUUGAUUGGGAUAGUAAAUGUUGUUGGGUUUAUGUAUAACAUGUGUUGAUAUGAAAUGAUAUUUGAAUGCCUGAAUUGUAUUCUUCAGUGAAAUGCCAUUAAAUGUUCUAAUUGAAAGCUAACUAUACAUGCAUUGAAAGGUUGCUUUAGUAGCAUGAUAAAUUGCUGUUGAAAUGAUUCUAAUAUUAAGACAUGAUAGAAUGCUAUUGAAUUUGAAUGUGAAAUCAAAUGCAUGAUAAUUAUUCCAUUGAAUUGAAAUGAUUGAUAUAAUGAAAGCGCGUAAAACAUGCAACUGAACUGAGAUUGAAAUGGAAGCAUGUACUUACUGGUAAAUUGUAUAACAUAAUGCAUGUGCAUGGGGUGGGUUAUUAUGGAUGAUAGAGGAGUUCCAUGGAGUACCGGUGGCAAAUUAAGUCCGCAUUAAUAUUGUCAGUGCACUACACUGGGAGUAAUGAGGAGAUUGGUCAUUAUAUCGCAUAUUAAUUGGAAAUAUAAUUGCAUUGUUUAUAAUGGUGGUUUAACCACAUCGAGCUCAGCUCACAAUAUUUGGAGAUUGGUAGACGGGUUCUAGAGUACUCGUGGAGGGUAGCGGAUGGAUGGGUAGGAAUCUUUUUGCAUUGCAUUAUGCUUAUGAUAUACUCAAAUGUUAAUGUUUUAUGCUACGUAUUAUGCUGUAUUGAAUUAUUGAUUGUUGUCCGUAUGAAUGAUUAUGUGUUUAAACUGUUAUUGAAUCACACUGAGUAAGUUUAGCUCACCCCAUAGUUUCAAACAUCUCAAGUAAUGCUUGAGACUAGGGAAAAUUACUUAUCCAUUUAACAAAAUUUGAUUUAUUGAAAUUCAUUUUCUAUUUAUUUAUAUAAAGAUAAUAGGGAAAAUUACAAAACUAAAUUAUCCUUAAGUUUAGGAUAAAGCAUAACAAUUUCCUAUAUAUCUUGAAUACCUAAAAAGAACUAUUUUAGACUGGUAGUGCCCAUAGUCUUCACUGACCGAUGAAAAGCUUCACCAUCUCCAAUAAAAUCUAUAACUUGUAUUUGAGGAUAAGAAGUAGCAGCUCAUAAUCUAUUUCUUGGUCAAACUGGUUUAGACUUGGUAGUCGAUUAUCAUCGCUAAUUAAAUCUCCCCAUUCAUCCCUAUUAGAGACAAGUUUUAACAGAGGGUUUUCUUGUAUCUUUAAAGCUUUCCAUUCACCGGAGUUGGAAACCGGAUUUGUUAAAGAGUUGAGAUAACCCUUUCUCUUUUGAUUGAGGAGUGAAUUUGAUUCCAUCUCCACCAAAAUCUGAUGAUCAUCCCUAAUUAAAUAUGUUCAUCCCUAUUAGAGACAGGUUUCAAUAGAGGGUUUUCUUGGAUCUUCAAAGCUUUACAUUCACCGGAGUUAGAAAUUGAAUUUCUCGAAGGGUUGAGAUAACCCUUUCUCUUUCGAUUGAGGAAGGAAUUUGAUUCCAUGGUUUAAUAAAUCAAAUUGAGUAGGUGGAUCAAAGAACAAGAAAUUAAAAGCAAAAGACAGAUAAGAGGAUGCUAAAAAGCUUAGAUAGAUGAUGAACCAUUUCUAAUUUGUCUACUGGUGAUAUUUAUAAAUAGAUGAGAGUGGUUAUGUCGGUGUAUAUCCCAAAAUCUAGCCGUUGUAAGAGCUUCAUGUUGAAAAAUAUGGACAUCACAUAUAUAAUAAGGGUAAUUACAUGUUAUUUUUGAUAGGUUAGCCCAAAUUAAAAGUGAUCUAAUUUGGUUAAAAUUUUAUUGGGCUUUAAUUAUUAAAUAAAAUAUGGGUCAAAUAUGUGUAGAUACUCUAGUAAUUAAGUUCUAAUCAAAUUCUAAUUAAUGAUGGGCUAAUUAGAAUUUGAUUAGAACUAAUAUGCCAAGGUUAUAAAUAUUAGGGUUAUGGUCCCCAAAUUACACAAAAUGUAAUGGCCUAAAUUCGGCAAUGAAUACGGGUAGGGGGUGUUACACAAAAGAUAUCUUUUCUAAUAUCACAUUGUUACGAAAGAGAGAGCAAAUAUUCUUUGAAUUUCUUGUGUGCUAAUUUGGAAGAUCAAAUCCCCAAGAUCGGGUAAAACUUCAAGAAAUUCAUGGAUUCAGAUACGCUUCCGCAUCUAGUUUUGUUCUUGAUUUAUUCUUGAUGAUUAGACAUGAUAGAUCCUAGUUUAUAGUUCUAAUUUUAUAUUAGAUAUUAUUUAAAAUUCUAACAAGUGGCAUCCGAGCUUUGUCAUGUUGAAUCAUUGAGAAUGAAUUGAUUCUUUAUUAGUUUUGGAUUGAUUCGUUUUUCUUUUUUAAUUUUAUGGAUUUGAUAUUUUAAUUAUAUAUUAUGUUGAAUCUUUAAGAUUCUUGAUAAAUUUUGGGUUUUAAUUCUUUAAAUAAAGUUUUAAGGUUUUAUAAAUAUAAUCUAGUUUAAUAUUUGCAUAUGCUAUUCGAAAGAUAAAUGUUUAUUUAUUUAUUUAUAAUCAAUUGAUAAAAAUUAAUUUGUGUGAGAUUUUUUCUCUUCUUUUCACACAAUUAUUUUAUAAAUUUUGGUUAAAGUCAUUAUUAAAUUAAAAUUACAGACUUACAACUUUUUACAAUUGAAGAAUUCCAAUUGGGUUGUAUAAUUGGUUUUGAAAGUUAAUUUUCUUGAUAAUCGAAUAAAUGAAUGUUGGUAAGAUAUAUUUUUUUCGCACUAUUUGUUUUAAAUUUUUGUUUGUAGUUGAAUAUAUAUGGAAUCAUCAUUCUUUGUCUUUAUUUAUGAUGAAUUAUAUUCACCAUUGAAUUCAAUUCAUAUAUCUGAAUGAUUACUUUUGGUUUCUUUUAUAAUUAUUUUAUGUAAGUUUUAGUCUUUAUGGAAUCUAACUAAAAUUAAAAUAUUUGAGAUUAUUUUUUAAAUAUGGUGGCUAUGAAUUUUCAUAGGUAGUUAGCAUAUAAAGACUUUUAUAUAAUUUGGGAUUCUUAUUAUAUUUUGUGGUUAUGGAUUUUUUUAGUAUUUGUGUGUAUAAAGAAGUUUUAUGAUAAUUUCUUUAGUCAUGAAUAUAAAUUUGAGUUUACAUGAAAUAUGUAAGGCAAGCCAGUAUUAUUUUUAUAUUUGAGUGUGUAUAUAUAUUAUAUACAUAUCAAUGAUUUUGAGGAUUAAUGCAUGAUUAUAGUUUGUGUGAGCGGGUGUUUAUAACCAUUAUUCAAUAAGAUAUCUUUUAUAGUUCAAUUGGUGAAA